GCCUUCUCCCCGCUUCCGCCCUGCGCGCUAACCGAAGACGGGAGCUCGAGAGCUUGAUCCUGCGCGAGUUUACAGACUGCCCUCUUCCCUUUUUGCAUCGAAGACCACAACUCCCAAGAGUUAAUGCGUCGGCCCGGGACUACAUCUCCCGGCAUGCAUCGCCGGCGGGUCCGCGAGUUCUCACCAUCGCAGCUGGACUAUUAGCGGGGGCCCUAGCGCUCUUGUGGUUUGUUUCGGCAGUAUCUGAAUGUCAGCUUUUGGCACUUCUGGUCGCUCUGAGCCUCCUACUCGCAUUCCUGGAGCAAGGUGCUUUCCAGGCCUCAUGGAGGUGGAGGAGCUGAGGAAGCUCGAGAAGAUGGAUAGAAGUGGGAAAUGGAGCUAGCGUACGGGAGAGGGAAAUGGCUGGAAUAUUCGUCAAUCUGUGGUGCUUUACUGGAGAUUUGCAGGAGUUCAGAGGAAGGGGGCAUUGAAUUUCAUAACCUAAACCGUAUCGUGGUUUACCAGAAAGUUUUGACCCGUGAUUCCGGUUUUAAAGGCUGAGUAGGGCCGGGCGCGGUGGUUCACGCCAGUAAUCCCAGCAGUUUAGGAGGCCAAGGCAGGCGGAUCACCUGAGGUCAGGGGUUGGAGAUAAACCUGGCCAACAUGGUGAAACCUCGUCUUUAGUAAAAAAUACAAAAAUUAGCCAGGUUUUGUGGCACAUGCCUGUAAUCCUAGCUACUCGAAAGGCUGAAGCACGAGAAUCGCUUGAACCCAGGAGGAGGUUGCAGCGAACCGAGAUCUUGCCGCUGUACUCCAGCCUGGGCGACAGAGCGAGACUGUGUCAAAACAACACCACAAGCUAGCUGAGUAGGGUUUCUUGGGCGAAGUGGAAGACAUUAUAAGCAAAUAGGGUAGUAUGGGCAUGGAAACGAACUACAUGAUUAAAGAAUAGUAUUAUCUGGCGAGGGAGGAAAAGUGCCAGAGCAAGUGCCGAAACUGGAAGGUUACAUUUAGUUCAGGAUAUGAAGAUCAUAUAAGGCCUGCACGGUGGCUCACACCUGUAAUCCCAGCACUUUGGGAAGCCAAGGUGGGGGAGGAUCGCUUGAGCUCAGGAGUUGGAGACCAGCCUGGGCAACAUAGUGGGACCCCAUAUCUCAAAAAAAAAAAA
This 1147-nucleotide small RNA is filed under the name Pan troglodytes (chimpanzee). RNAcentral describes it as "retained intron". Lineage: Eukaryota; Metazoa; Chordata; Mammalia; Primates; Hominidae. The record is from RNAcentral.